GUCCCUGUAGUGCAGUGGACCACGCUUUGGACAUCUGAUUCAAAGAUCUUGGGUUCAAUUCCCACCUGGGAUG
Molecule: non-coding RNA, 73 nt
Organism: Trichonephila clavata
Lineage: Eukaryota; Metazoa; Arthropoda; Arachnida; Araneae; Nephilidae
Source: the annotation of a GenBank genome assembly